AUUGAACGCUGGCGGCAGGCCUAACACAUGCAAGUCGAGCGGAUGAAGGGAGCUUGCUCCUGGAUUCAGCGGCGGACGGGUGAGUAAUGCCUAGGAAUCUGCCUGGUAGUGGGGGAUAACGUCCGGAAACGGGCGCUAAUACCGCAUACGUCCUGAGGGAGAAAGUGGGGGAUCUUCGGACCUCACGCUAUCAGAUGAUCCUAGGUCGGAUUAGCUAGUUGGUGGGGUAAAGGCCUACCAAGGCGACGAUCCGUAACUGGUCUGAGAGGAUGAUCAGUCACACUGGAACUGAGACACGGUCCAGACUCCUACGGGAGGCAGCAGUGGGGAAUAUUGGACAAUGGGCGAAAGCCUGAUCCAGCCAUGCCGAGUGUGUGAAGAAGGUCUUCGGAUUGUAAAGCACUUUAAGUUGGGAGGAAGGGCAGUAAGUUAAUACCUUGCUGUUUUGACGUUACCAAAAGAAUAGGCACCGGCUAACUUCGU
Molecule: ribosomal RNA, 483 nt
Filed under: uncultured bacterium
Lineage: Bacteria
Description: partial 16S ribosomal RNA
Rfam family: Bacterial small subunit ribosomal RNA
Source: RNAcentral